This 268-nucleotide unclassified non-coding RNA is filed under the name uncultured fungus. RNAcentral describes it as "partial contains 5.8S ribosomal RNA, internal transcribed spacer 2, and large subunit ribosomal RNA". The record is from RNAcentral. Lineage: Eukaryota; Fungi.
AACGCACAUUGCGCCCCACGGUAUUCCGCGGGGCAUGCCUGUUCGAGCGUCAUAUCAACCCUCAAGCCCCAGGCUUGGUGUUGGGGAAGCCACGGUGACGUGGGCCCCUAAAUGCAGUGGCGGUCCCGACCGCGGGCCCGAGCGUAGUAGAAUGCCUCGCCGGGAGCCGCGCGCGGGCGCCUGCCGUAAAAGCAGUCGUCUUCCCACAGGGGGGGCGCACACUUACUAGGUUGACCUCGAAUCAGGUAGGAAUACCCGCUGAACUUAA